RNAcentral lists this ribosomal RNA (253 nucleotides) under uncultured bacterium. RNAcentral's name for it is "partial 16S ribosomal RNA". It matches the Rfam family "Bacterial small subunit ribosomal RNA", at positions 524 to 776 of the family's 1533-position model. The record is from RNAcentral.
UACGAAGGGGGCUAGCGUUGUUCGGAAUUACUGGGCGUAAAGCGUAUGCAGGCGGACUUUUAAGUCAGAGGUGAAAUCCUGGAGCUCAACUCCAGAACUGCCUUUGAUACUGAAAGUCUUGAGUAUGGGAGAGGUGAGUGGAACUGCGAGUGUAGAGGUGAAAUUCGUAGAUAUUCGCAAGAACACCAGUGGCGAAGGCGGCUCACUGGCCCAUAACUGACGCUGAGGCACGAAAGCGUGGGGAGCAAACAGG